GGGGGUGGGGGUAUGUUUUCUGAAGGAGAAAAGAGGAACCUGGGGAAGAAACAGAAGAGAGAGGAGGCUGGAAAACAGAGGACACUAUGACAUGUAUUCCCCAGGCUAGCUCAGGACAGAGGCUCAUGUUUCUGGGGACAGAAUCACAAGCAAAAGCUCAAAUGGCCAUUUUGAUGAAAACUUAAAAGUUGCAAAACUUAAAGGCACAACACCAUGCAUACUGCUUUAGAACUAAGGUGGAAAAGUAUGCAGGCAAUAUGGAACGGGAAGACCACUUUCCAUUUCUGGGAAGAAGGACCACUGCAGAUGUGUCCUGAAGGAACUAAAGGGGAUCGAGACAGCAGGGGGAAUGUCACUGUAAUUGUCAGAGAAGUGGGGUAGCUGUGUUCUCAUGGCAGCACCUCUUAAGAAAGAAGACAGAAGAAGAGCAGACUUAGUUCCUGUGUGGCAGCCCCCGUGGUGGGAAUUCCCAGCCUUGACCAUGGCACACUGGAAGAGGAACAUGGGUAACAAGGAACAUUUCCUGAAACUUGUUGCCAUUUAUAAGCAUACCAAAUGAGAAAGAAGAGGCGCUACUAGUAUGGAACUGGGGCAACAUCACAAAAUCAACAAGGAAAGCAUCUGAAAUAUCUGUAAAGGAAAAGGAAAAGGGAAGGAGGACAAUUCUUUACCAAGUUCAGUAAUACAAUAUGAAAGAGGGGCCAAAAAUUCAUAUUGAACAGGAACAAAAAUGUCUCUGAACCCCAAAAAAGUCAGCCUACAAGAACAAAUUGAGAAAAUACUAAAGCUGGAACUAGAUCAAUAAGAUUCAGAAUGGGUUCUAGAUGCCGUCGUUUUUCUGUCAAGAGGCAUUAAAAGAAGAGAGUGAAUACUGUAGUGGACCUCCCAAGGCUCCUGCUUAGGACCAACGCUCUGGUUUCAGUUGUCAGAAGCACUGACUGCUGGUAGGCUGGCUGCAAACACAGUCAUCCCUGGAAAUCUCCCUCAGACAGAGAGCUGCCUCACCCAAGUGAGGCCCCUUCCUGAAGGACUGACAGAGACUGUUGCCAUCUGCAUUGAAGUGCAACUUCUUCCCUUGCCUCUUCCUAAUUUUCUCACUUCCACUCUUCCUCACAGCAUUCCCAAGUAAACUUCCUUCAUGUGAAUCUUGUCACCUCAGAGUAUGUUUUGCAGGGAACCAGAACAACGAUACCUCCCUCUUUACUCCUACCUGUGUCUUGGAACAUACACAGACUACAUGUUAACUCCAUGCACGGUUAAUUGCCAAAUGACUCACAGACCGUGCGACGUCAUCAUCAGGCUGCCUGGAGAGGAUGGGAAGGAUAAAACUUCUCACAAGUUAAUGGAGACAUAGACUCUUCUACUUUCUCAAUUGAAUUCAUUUCUCACAAAUGUCACCUGUAGUUAUUUAGAUCCAAGAAAACGUCAAAAAUGGAACUACAUAUUUGUAUGUAACAAAUGAUAGUUGGUCUUUAUUAUGACAUUUAUUCACACUUGUACGUAGAAAUGGGAAAUUGUCUCAAGGUUACAUAACUCAUGAGCUGGUACUCUUCAUCUCUUUCAUGAAGACAGAUGUUUUGGGAGACUAGAAGCCAUGUAUCUCUGUUGUACCAGGUGCUGCAUAUCACCUUGUUUUAGUUAUACAUUAGAAUACUAUUGAAAACUCAUGACUCAAAUUGAUUUUGAUUUCUAAGAAAUGAUGAGGAGAACCUAAAAUUUAACCCAUUCAUUUUACCAUAAUUGAGUAUUUCUCAGAAUUUAAGCUCUUUCUCAUUAUCAGUUGUCUAUAUUUACAGGUUGUAAAACUUGAAAUACACAAGAUUUUCACAGGUGUAGGUACAAAACAGGCCAAAUUAUAAAACCAAAAGAGUUUAAAUGAACCUAUGUAAUUUAAGGUAAAUAUUAUUACCUGUUUUACCUUGGUAGUGUAUAUUGUGUGUAUUGUACAUUCCACUUUUAUAUCUCUAUAAAGACAAUAUCUUUCCUACAUAUUAAUGUAGGUAAAUAGCUAAUGUUAUACAGAGUUCAGGAGGAAUUAGAUUAUUAGAUUUCCUCCCUUGUGGAUUGUCUUAAUCUGCUGAGGCUGCUAUAACAAAUACCAUGGAAUGGGUAUCUUAAAUAAUAGAAACUGAUUUCUCACAAUUCUGGAAGGCCGCAAUCAGGGUGCCAACAUGGCUGGGUUGUGGGUUGUGCCCUUUUAUUGGUUUGUAAACAGUAUCUUCUUUUUGGAUCUUCACAUGAUGGGGGGGCAGGAAGCAAACUCUUUGUGUCUCUUGGGGUUUUUUUUGUUUGUGUUUGUUUUUGUUUUUUGUUUCAUUUUUUUUUUGUUUUUUGGGUUUUUCUGUUUUUGAGGGCCGCAGGUGUGGCAUAUGGAAGUUCCCAGGCUAGGGAUCUGAGCCGUGUCUGCAACCUACACCACAGCUCACCACAACUGAGCAAGGCCAGUGAUUGAACCCACAUCUUCAUGGAUACUAGUUGGGUUCCUUACUGCUGAGCCACAGCAGGAACUCUCUUGUAAAAAAGGUGUUAAUCCCAUCAUGAGGGCUCUACCCCCAUGAGCUAAUUACUUCCCAAAGGUUCCAUCUCCAAAUAUCAUUACAUCCGCAUUAAGACUUCAACAAAGGAAUUUAGUGGGGAGACACAAAUAUUCAAUUCUUAUUUUUCACACCUAAUCAAAGAAGUACAAAUUAUGCAAUCAAAACUUAAAACUGAGUAGUUUAUAUUGUCCAUAGAAUUUUAAGAGUUUAAAUCAGAAUGGAGCUUGCAUUUACAAAACAGGUAACAAAGCCCUUUGUUACCAUCAUUUCAAAAUGUAGAUAAGAAUUGUAUUUCUUAUUGGCUGCUUUUAACUUUGUUGAAGGUACAUUAAAUUAUGUUAAUGCGUCAGUGGGGAUAUAUUUUGCCUUCACUUUACUACCCAUUGAACAAUUGCUUUAUUUUUACAGAAUUACAGAUAGGAAUGGAAAAUAGGCACCCCAUAAACUAGAGAAGUACUUGAGAGUAACCCCUUGGAAUAACCAAGGAAAGAAGAGCUAGAAAGAGUGGAGGUAUUAAAUUAUAGGAUAUUUUCAGAGAAAUACAAUGUUUGAAAAAACUGCAAGUGCCUGAGACAAUUCAAACUAAUCGAUGAACUACCAUAAUAGUGGUUCUUAUGAGAUUUGGUUUAAUGUCUAGAAGAAAAUUAUCUAAAAUUAGCAUAUCAGUUAUUUGCAGGUAAACAGAUGUUUUAUUUCUGCAGCUUGAGGGUGUUCAAAAACAAUUUGUUUACUGAAAUAACUUAUAAAUCUUCCUCCAGCAAUCUUAUUUUAUUUUAUGAAUUAACCUGGAUAUAUUAAUGCAAAGUUUGCAGAGUUCCUGUUGUGGCUCAGUGAGUUAAGAACCUGAUAUACCUUCUGUGAGAAUGUGGGUUCGAUCCCUGGCCUCGCUUGGUGGGUUAAGGAUCCAGCACUGCUAUGGCUAUGGCAUGGGCUGGCAGCUGCAGCUUUGAUCCGACCCCUAUGCUCCAGGUGUGGGCUUAGAAAAAUUAAUUAACUAACUAAUUAAAGCAAAGUUUGCCACACACUCCCCUCCUGGGUGCCGCACCUUCCAUUUAGCUAAGCCACAAAUCUGUACAUUUGUGGUAUUAACUGCUAGCCUUCUCCCUCAUCUUUGUUAUCUGAAAGACAAGAUUAUGCUUUUUCAUUUAAUAAGUGCUGCUUCUAUCAAAAUAAGUUUUGUCAUUAAAAUACUUAAAUAUUACUAUCAAAAUAUUUAAUCAUAAACAAGAUUUGAAAAGACUGUCUAAAUAGAAUAUGAUAUUUUCCCGACUAUAUUUUACAUCUUAUGAAUAGUUAUUUGAUCCAAUCUUAGCAUUGCCGGGAAUAGAGUUGUUCAGAAGCAGGGUGGACUCCUAACAGGGACAACAUCUCAAAACUUGUCCUUGACACUCGGCCAGGCACAUUUACCACCAGCAAUCCCUAAGACAGAACAAGGAAGAAGAAUCAUCACUACAGACAGUACGUUUGGUUAAGAGGAUAUGUUAAACAGAAAAAUGAUUUCUGUCUUCAAAAGAGUUAAAAAGGAGUUUCUUCUCAAAAUAGUUAUUAACAGUCUUAAACCUCAUUAAAUGUUUUCAAAUGAUUACAAAUUCUCAAUUUAAAACUGGGCAAGCCUUAAAGGUUUUUAUGGCUGUUUAGAAAAGGCAAUGAUCAGCUCAGUGUGUCUUCAUGUAGCUAAGUGACUCCUCAUAAUUAUUCAAAAGGAUGACCUGGUUCAGAACUUGGGCUCUGGAGCCAGAGCAUCUGAGUUCAAAUCUUGACCUCACUACUUCCUAGCUGUGUGACGUUGCCAUUAGGUCAGUGAGCCAUUUACCUUGUGCCUCAGAUUCCUCACCUAAUAAAUGGAGAUGAUUACAGUUACACCUACCUCACAGAGUUAUGAAGAUUCAAUGUAUUAAUACAUAUAAAGCAAUUGGAAUGAUGCUUAGCACAAAAUUACCUACCCAGUUUCAUCAGUUAAUUUUUCCAUAUAGAAGCUAACUUAUAAAUUCCCCCAACUUUGUGUCCUAGUUUAGAUUCUCAUAUAAUCCAUUAUGUCGACAUGUAAUGUUGUUAAAGCUUCCUACCAUUGAAAAAAUGUGUAUAUAACAUCUGGACAUCAAAAAAAUGAGGUGAUUUUGUUAAAAGUUUGGUACUGUAAAGAAUUGUGACCUACUUUCUUUUGGUUUGUGAAGAGCCCAGCCUUUCGUACCUGAAGUUUUUUAGAACAUAAGAAACAUCACACUGAGUUGCACAUUCUCUCUCUGAUAGUGGUACCUAGAAGGCAGCCCCAGGGAUAACCUAGCUUCCCUCCAUAUGACCAAACUAAAGCCUUCAGGAAGGUACACCAAUGAUGUUGUAUUCCUUCCCUUGGACCCAUCAGGCAUCUCUCAUUCAUUUACGCCAAUCUUUAAAUCACAUGCCAUUUUUAAUCUAUCCCAAUCUAGAUGGGUGAGAAGCUAAAUACAUGUCUAUUUCUUUUUAUAUCUAACCUGAAAAUUACACUUUUAAUCUUCACUAAGCACCUUUUUGUUCUAAUUCCAUAGAUAAGGAAAUAAAGUAUAAAGCCAUGGCGGAUAUUUUGACUUAAUUCCUAGAGAACUUUAUUAAUCUGAUAAAGCCUGUAGGGGUGUUUUUGUUUUUUUUUUUUUUUCUGAAAAUCCAGUUAUGCUCAUGAUUUUCCUUAUUCAGAUCAGUGAAUUCUUCACCUGACCAAUGAAAAUGCUAAGACAUUUGCAGUUCAUUAUAAGAGAAGAAAUGGAUAUUUCCUGAGCAUAGUUUCUUAUUUUAUUUGCUACAAAUUGUCUAUUUGUACAUCAAUAUACUCUGAUUAGUUUGUUUAUGCCCUUGAGAUGUUACAUAAUUAAGUAUAUAAAAUGACUUAUUUUUACUUCCUUAAGGUAUAUGAUAACUAGAUUCAUAAAUUUAAAUUUUAAAGACUCAGUUUCAUUUAACAUGGAUUCCAGUAUUCCUGUAAGUAAAUAAUAAAUAGUAUUUAAUACCUAUAGCUAUACUUUAUAUCUGCAAUGGAGGAAAGCUGGUUAACACCUUUCCAUUAAUUUUAAAGAUGUGUUUUUUUAAAGAUGUGGUUUUUUAUAUUCACAAUAUAAAACAAGCAGCCCAUCCACCACUUUUUUCCUUUACAUGCAUAAAUCAAAUAAAUAGAGCUUUAAUACAUAUUAUUUAAGCAGAGCAUUAUUAGGCCAUACAUUUUUUUUUCAAAAUCUUGUCUUGAAGAUAGUAUGACAAAAGUUAUAACUCUACAAUUAUACCUGAGGAAUUCACCAAGGAGAAAUGGAAAUAUAUGUCCACACAAAGACUUGCAUGUGAAUAUUCAUGGCAGUGUUGUUUUUUAUUAAACAGAAAGUAGAAACAAUCCAAUGUCCAUCAACUGGUUGAAUGGUGAAAAAAAAUAUGAUCUAUCCAAGCAACAGCACACCAUUCAGCAAUAAAAAGACCUGCUAUGUAGCACAGGGAACUCCAUUCAAUACUGUGCAAAGAAUCUGAAAAAGAUAUGUACAUGUAUAACUGAAUCACUUUGCUGUACACCUGAAACUAACACAACCUUGUAAAACAGCUGUACACUAAUAAAUUUUUUUAAAAUAGUAAUGAAGUGAUGAUACACGCUACAACAUAGAUAAGCCUGAAAAAUACUAUGCUAAAUGAAAAAGAGCCAUAUGCAAAAACCAUGUAUCACAUGAUUCCAUUUAUAAGAAAUGCCCAGAAAAGGGAGAUCUGUGAGAUAGAAAGUAGAUUAGUGAGUGGUUGUCUGGGCCAGGAGGUAAGAAUGAUAAGGGGUGACUGCAGAUGGGCCCAAGGGAUCUUUACGGGGUGCUGGAAAUAAUCUGGAAGGAGAUUGUAGUGAUGGUUGUUCAAGUCUGUACAUUUACUAAAAAAUGAUUAAAUGAUACAUUUAAAACAAGUAAAUGUGUGGUAUAUAAAUUACACCUCAAUAAAGCUGUUUAAAAAAAGAUAACAUGGAACAUCUGAAAAUGUCAAAGGGUCUGGCUGACUUUGUUUCCAUUAGCACAUGUACAGAUAGGCCUCAAAACUGCCCCCCCAAGGGCAGUAUACAGGUGAUUUUCAGUCACAUACUUGACCGAGCAGGAAAAAACACACAUGGAUUUCAAGUUUACAAUGUCCCAGUCCUAUUCUCUUCCCAGAUGUUGUGAUAAGAGUCAGUUGCCAAUAAGGAUAAAUAUAUUUUAUAUAGUUAGCUUAGAAAUGUGGUUUUUUAAGUAUGCCUAUAUCCUUGUAUAUUCAUAAACAAUUUUUGGAAGUUAUCUAGGAAACAUCAUAGUGGGUACAACUGGGAAAUGUAAGAGGAUUAAAUAGGGGGAAAAGGUUGUGGAUUCAUUCUUGUUAUUUGGUAGCUUUUUUUUUACUGUUUAAAUGCUUUAUUUGUUCAUGUACUACUUUGGUAAUUUAAAAAUGUUUAUAAAAAAGAAAUUUGUGGUUUUUUAUAAAAUGCUUAGUAUUAGUAAAAUUAUAAAUGAUGAAAUAGAUACUAUAGUAAUGAUGCCUAUAUAUGUAUACUUUCAGUAUUUUGUUAUUCAUGUCUUUUUAUACUUCCUGAGGAAAAAUGUUUUCAUUAAAAAAUUUCCUACAACAAUUGAGCAAGUGCAGCAACAUCAGGUAUGAUUUAAAUCUGCAUACCACUGCAUUAAACAGAGAUGACUUUAGCGUGAUAUUUUGCAGUUAAUUAUUAAACUAUAUUGCUUCUUAGUGUCCUUUUUUCAUUUUUUAUUUUUUUGGCCGCACCUGUGGCAUAAGCAAGUUCCUGGAGCUAGGAGUUGAAUCAGAGCUGCAACUGUCAGCCUAUAUACCACAGCCACAACAACGCCAUAUCUGAGCUGCAUCUGCGACCUACGCCACAGCUUGUAGCAAAGCUGGAUCCUUAACCCAUUGAGUGAAGCCAGGGAUCAAACCCAUGUCUUCACGGACAUGAUGGUGGGUUCUUAAACCACUAAGCCACAAUGGGGAAACUCCCUUCAUGUCCUUUUUUAAAGUCAAAAGUAUUAAAUACCAUGGGAUAAAUUUUACCUAAGUUUGGUUUUAAAACUUAUUUGCCAGUCUUAAAUAACAACAGUGUCACAUGCACCACUGUAACUGCUCUAGAUGUAUCAACUCAUUUAAUCCUCACAAUAACUAGAAAAGGGACAUGCUAUUUAAUUGUCAUUUUCCUGAUGAGGUUACUAUAUAUGGAGAGAUUAAGGAACUUGCUCCAUUUCACACAGCUGAUAAGUGGUAGAGCUUGGAUUCAAACCCAGGCAUAGAUUUCAAGGCCCACGCUCUUAUCCAUGACACAGCUGUCUCUUAAUGGAGGUAUGUAAGGAUAAACUAAUAUUGGACUUACAUUAGGAAGAUGAAAAGUGCUCUAAUUAUUCAAACAGUUUUAUUAUCUAUUCAGUUUUUAAGAAUGGGGGGACCAGGGAAGAACUGCAGUAAUUUACUUAAAUAAGCCAGAAAAACAACAUAAAGUAUUAUGCACUUAAGUUGCAGGCAUUGAAAAAAAGGUCGCUUAACAUUGAGAAUCAUUGAGAAUCAUAAAUGGCAGCCCUAGAGGAGAAUUUUUUAAGGAAAAAUAAUAACUAAGAUGAGUUUGCUCUUGAAAAGAGGAGAGAGUCCUACCACACAAAAGAAAGAAAUUAUCUCAUUAAGAAUUUUUAAUACCAGGACUUAAUUUAAGGAGGCUCAAAGAAACAGACAACUGAAGCAUUACAUUUAAAAAUGGCUAUUUUAAAUUAUAUCUCCUAAAAUGGGGUUAUAUUAUUUAAAUGUAACUAAGAAUAAAAUAAAAUUUUUCUUUACUGUUGUUAUGUUCUCCCUAUUUCCAUCAAUACUUUCGACAGAGAAACACAUACAAGAUUACAUGGAAGCAGUGGACUGACAGCUUCUAUCAUCUAGCAAAUAUCACAGCUCACUUUACCUGGCGGUUCUUGUGAAUAUGCUCCAUAUUCUGCUGCAAGUUACUCUCUUUGUGCCUCAAUUUCUCAGUCUUUGUAUAUCCAUGAGAUUGUUUCAAAAACCUAUAACUUGCUUAGUAUAAAUCUUAAAAACCUUACAUGAAAGCUAGUUGCCAUGCAUAAAGAAUUCUACCCAUCUACCUAUAUAACCCCCAAAUAUAAAAAUUAUUACAUUUAGAACGCAUGAGCAAUGAGGUCCUAGUGUUUAGCACAGGGAACUAUAUCCAAUCUCCUGGGAUAG
Molecule: long non-coding RNA, 8723 nt
Organism: Sus scrofa (pig)
Lineage: Eukaryota; Metazoa; Chordata; Mammalia; Artiodactyla; Suidae
Source: RefSeq, a predicted model, not a curated record